GACGAACGCUGGCGGCGUGCCUAACACAUGCAAGUCGAACGGAAAGGCCCUGCUUUUGUGGGGUGGUCGUGUGCCGAAGGGGUGAGUAACACGUGAGUAACCUGUCCCUGUCAUUGGGAUAUCUUCAGGGAACAGGGUCUCUAACCGCAUAGGAUCUCUUGCUGCAUGGUGGGCAUUGGAAAGUUUCGGCGGUUGGGGAUGUAUUGGCGGCUUAUCCGCUUGAUGGUGGGGUAGUGGCUUACGAAGGCUUUGAAGGGUAGCCGGCCUGGGAGGGGGGACGGGCACAUGGGGACUGAGAGACGGCCCAGACUGGUACGGGAGGCAGCGGUGGAGAGGAUGACAGAGUAGGCGGGAGUGAGAUGUGAAAAAGCUGGGUGCGGGAAGACGUGCUUUGGGUUGUGAACCGAUUUCGCCUGAGAUGAGGCGAGAGUGACGGUAACGGGUCAAGAAGCACCGGCUAACUACGUG
This 468-nucleotide ribosomal RNA is filed under the name uncultured bacterium. RNAcentral describes it as "partial 16S ribosomal RNA". It matches the Rfam family "Bacterial small subunit ribosomal RNA", at positions 28 to 507 of the family's 1533-position model. The record is from RNAcentral.